CCAGUCUUUGGGUUCACAGCUUGGCUCUACAUUCAUUGCUGGAGGAAUCCAAGCCUCACAAAAGACCGCUUUUAAAGAAAAACUCUAUUUUUCUUAGAAGAACUAGAUUAAACUAAGAUCCUUUGCCAAUAAAAAGACAAACAAUAGAAAAUUCCUACAGAUUAAGAAUACCAACCAAGAUUUCAGUGAACUUACUUGCUUCAGCUCUGGGAGAACAGUUAUGACAUGGUGCUGAAUUACAUCAGUGAGGAACUAGAGCUUUAACCAAACUUGAGUAAGAACUCCCUGACUUGGAAACACUCAAGUUUCCCACACAUGACUGGAUGGCCCUGGCCACACUGGGAACGGAAUGGGGGCCUCCCAUUGGAACUCAGGGUGGAGGGGGAAGCUCGACCAGCUAUUGUGGCCCCCACUUCCAUUGACAAAAUAAGGGAUGAAGGCCCAGAGGGGUUAAGUAACUUGCCUGAAGGUGGUAGAGAAAUGAUUUAAAUCCAGGCUGUCUCCAGAUCUGCUCUCUUAACCACAGCAUCACAGCCUCUGGACCCACAUGGAAGACCCUGUGGCUGAAUCUGCAGGUGGGUCACCUCAGAUUCAUCCUUCAUCCUUUCCUCUUUAACUAUUUUUCUUCUGUUUUGAUCACCUCCUCUUGAAGAGUGAGGGAUUCCCAUCCUAGGGAUGCAGGCAUGGCUGAAUGAAACAUGAUACCUGAC
This 710-nucleotide long non-coding RNA is filed under the name Homo sapiens (human). Its description in RNAcentral is "HSALNT0089719". The record is from RNAcentral. Lineage: Eukaryota; Metazoa; Chordata; Mammalia; Primates; Hominidae.